RNAcentral lists this ribosomal RNA (443 nucleotides) under uncultured Fusobacterium sp. Its description in RNAcentral is "bacterial SSU rRNA". It matches the Rfam family "Bacterial small subunit ribosomal RNA", at positions 338 to 795 of the family's 1533-position model. The record is from RNAcentral. Lineage: Bacteria; Fusobacteriati; Fusobacteriota; Fusobacteriia; Fusobacteriales; Fusobacteriaceae.
CCUACGGGUGGCUGCAGUGGGGAAUAUUGGACAAUGGACCAAAAGUCUGAUCCAGCAAUUCUGUGUGCACGAUGAAGUUUUUCGGAAUGUAAAGUGCUUUCAGUUGGGAAGAAGAAAGUUACGGUACCAACAGAAGAAGUGACGGCUAAAUACGUGCCAGCAGCCGCGGUAAUACGUAUGUCACAAGCGUUAUCCGGAUUUAUUGGGCGUAAAGCGCGUCUAGGCGGUUAAUUAAGUCUGAUGUGAAAAUGCGGAGCUCAACUCCGUAUUGCGUUGGAAACUGGUUAACUAGAGUACUGGAGAGGUAAGCGGAACUACAAGUGUAGAGGUGAAAUUCGUAGAUAUUUGUAGGAAUGCCGAUGGGGAAGCCAGCUUACUGGACAGAUACUGACGCUAAAGCGCGAAAGCGUGGGUAGCAAACAGGAUUAGAUACCCCGGUAGUC